GAUAAACACUUGAUGAAUAGUUGGCUCUCUACUGAUUCAGUUUUUCAUGUAGAAGACAGUCUGGGUGUGGUGCAGUCAUGGUAAGGAGUCUGAAGAAUGGAACUUGCAUAGUGGGACAAAAAUGCCACAUGACUUACAAUGAAGGAAUGAAUUAGGAAAGGUGUGCACGAUUGAGAGUUCCUGCAAUAAAUAAACAAGUGAAAGACCAUG
Ictidomys tridecemlineatus (thirteen-lined ground squirrel) is the source of this 210-nucleotide non-coding RNA. The record is from RefSeq and is a predicted model, not a curated record. Lineage: Eukaryota; Metazoa; Chordata; Mammalia; Rodentia; Sciuridae.